AUUAGUCACUUUUUCAUGUAUAUAUUUUCUUGGUGGUAUGGCAUAUUUGAAAAUUGUCAGGGGAGCAUCAGGAUUUGAAAUGAUUCCAAAUUAUGAAUUUUGGUUAGAUUUUCCAUUACUAGUUCGGGAUGGUGUGAUAUUUGUCUUGAGUGGUUGUAGAGCUGAAACAACUUAUGAAAGAAUCUAGCAAAACAUUACUUGAAAAGAAACCAUGUGCCUAUAUACAUAUGUAUUUUCUAGUUGGAUCCAAUCUCGCGUCUCAGGAUGAAUGAUUUACAUAGACUUGUACAUAAUGAAUGAAUGAAGAUACUAGCAUAAAUGUUCCCAAUAUUUGAAAAUUAACUAUAAAUCAGUUGGAAUUUUUUGUGAACAUUCAAUGAUUUUUUUUUUUUUUUAAUAGUAAUUUGCUAUGCACGGAUCAGAUCUGUUUUAAGGAAUAUCAUUGUCCAAUGUGGAACCAACUUUCAGAUUCAAAAAGUUUGCUUUGAUGAUUUUUUCAACCAAAAACAAAACAAAGUUUUGUAAGACACUUUGAUAAAAAGCUCUCAUUUUUAUUAUCAAUGCUAAAAUGGUAAGGUAACUUUUUACUGUGAUAUUGCUUAUUGCUUUCAUUAACUACGUUAUUACUAAAAAUGUAUAGUCUUUGUUAUUGAUAUUCGGAUAUAUUUUAAAAUAUUUGUUUUCUGUAAAUUUUUUAAAAUAAUUAAUCUUAGCAAUAUCAGAAGUUCCAGUAAACACUGAAUACUGUUUCCAUAUAUCACAAUAAUAAUUUAGGGAAGUCAUUUCAAAAAAUCUCAACAUAUCUUUUAAAGUUCUUACGAAUUUUGGACACA
Long non-coding RNA from Centruroides sculpturatus (bark scorpion), 833 nucleotides. RefSeq lists it as uncharacterized. The transcript has 2 exons. The record is from RefSeq and is a predicted model, not a curated record. NCBI's taxonomy places the organism in Eukaryota, Metazoa, Arthropoda, Arachnida, Scorpiones, Buthidae.